This 30-nucleotide non-coding RNA is filed under the name Mus musculus (house mouse). Lineage: Eukaryota; Metazoa; Chordata; Mammalia; Rodentia; Muridae. The record is from RNAcentral.
UAUGAUUUGAGACAAUAGAGACUAUUAGUG